AGAGUUUGAUCAUGGCUCAGGAUUAACGCUGGCGGUAUGCCUAACACAUGCAAGUCGAACGGAAUACUAAUUAAGAGAAUCUCACACUAGUGAGAGGUUCUCACGAGUAGUAUUUAGUGGCGGACGGGUGAGUAACACGUUGGAACCUGCCCCGAAGUGGGGAAUAACUGCUCGAAAGAGUAGCUAAUACCCCAUAGUAUCCGGUUUAUCCGGAUUAAAGAUUUUAUCGCUUCGGGAGGGGCCUGCGUCUGAUUAGCUUGUUGGUGAGGUAAAAGCUCACCAAGGCGACGAUCAGUAGCUGGUUCGAGAGGAUGACCAGCCACACUGGGACUGAGAUACGGCCCAGACUCCUACGGGAGGCAGCAGUGAGGAAUCUUCCACAAUGGACGAAAGUCUGAUGGAGCAAUACCGCGUGCAGGAAGACGCUUUUCGGAGUGUAAACUGCUUUUGUCGUCGAAGAUUAUGACUGUAGACGAAGAAUAAGGACCGGCUAACUACGUG
Molecule: ribosomal RNA, 501 nt
Filed under: uncultured bacterium
Lineage: Bacteria
Description: bacterial SSU rRNA
Rfam family: Bacterial small subunit ribosomal RNA
Source: RNAcentral